ACCGGGAUUAAUACCAGAUAUGACCACUUUAGAACAUCUGCUGUGGUGGAAAGAAUUUCGGCUAGGGAUGUGCUCGCGGCCUAUCAGCUUGUUGGUGAGGUAACGGCUCACCAAGGCGACGACGGGUAGCCGGCCUGAGAGGGCGACCGGCCACACUGGGACUGAGACACGGCCCAGACUCCUACGGGAGGCAGCAGUGGGGAAUAUUGCGCAAUGGGCGAAAGCCUGACGCAGCGACGCCGCGUGGGGGAUGAAGGCCUUCGGGUUGUAAACCCCUUUCAGCAGGGACGAAGCGAGAGUGACGGUACCUGCAGAAGAAGCGCCGGCUAACUACGUGCCAGCAGCCGCGGUAACACGUAGGGCGCAAGCGUUGUCCGGAAUUAUUGGGCGUAAAGAGCUCGUAGGCGGUCUGUUGCGUCCGCUGUGAAAACUCGGGGCUUAACCCCGAGCCUGCAGUGGAUACGGGCA
RNAcentral lists this ribosomal RNA (468 nucleotides) under uncultured Actinomycetes bacterium. RNAcentral describes it as "bacterial SSU rRNA". It matches the Rfam family "Bacterial small subunit ribosomal RNA", at positions 156 to 638 of the family's 1533-position model. The record is from RNAcentral. Lineage: Bacteria; Bacillati; Actinomycetota; Actinomycetes.